CCACCACAUGAAAAGCUAAGGGCAGCUUAAACCAGCACAAACUAGCAAACCAGCAUAUGCUUUUUUUCAACAGACGCAACGUCACCUCAUCAGUAACCGGAUCUACCACCCUGCCAACCCACCACUCAACAGCAUGAAGCUUCCCGACUUGUUAAAACAAAGAAGACAUUCCAAACACAAAAGAAGAUAUUUUAAAGAAUGUCGGUAACCAAACCACAUUGGUCCCCAUUGACUUCUGUACAUGGACACAAAAUCACUGUCACAUCACAAAAGAUCUUCUUGUGACGGUUAAUAAAUGAUGAAAUAAUUUUUAGGUUAAUAGCAAUAAUUCUUUCAAUAAUAAUAACAAAUCUUUGCAUCUUGCAAGCUCCCACUGUGGUACCGUGGAAAAAUCUGUCACCCC
Long non-coding RNA from Triplophysa rosa, 403 nucleotides. RefSeq lists it as uncharacterized. NCBI's taxonomy places the organism in Eukaryota, Metazoa, Chordata, Actinopteri, Cypriniformes, Nemacheilidae. The transcript has 3 exons. The record is from RefSeq and is a predicted model, not a curated record.